CAACUGAAUAGGCAAACCUAUGGAAAUGUAGGGACGCAAAGCUACAGGGACUAAAGUUUCAAGUUUUAUGACAAUGUCAGCCAGUUGCCAAA
Molecule: non-coding RNA, 92 nt
Filed under: Paenibacillus sp. OK060
Lineage: Bacteria; Bacillati; Bacillota; Bacilli; Caryophanales; Paenibacillaceae
Description: GEMM cis-regulatory element
Rfam family: c-di-GMP-I riboswitch aptamer
About the family: GEMM was predicted in a large-scale screen for bacterial structured RNA regulatory elements. Genes associated with GEMM are involved in a diverse array of functions, including chemotaxis regulation, signal transduction, secretion and chitin.
Source: RNAcentral